RNAcentral lists this long non-coding RNA (2963 nucleotides) under Gossypium barbadense (sea-island cotton). Its description in RNAcentral is "long non-coding RNA (GBAR_LNC011921)". The record is from RNAcentral. Lineage: Eukaryota; Viridiplantae; Streptophyta; Magnoliopsida; Malvales; Malvaceae.
AGAGGAGAAAGCUCUUGAAUGUUCAGUCACUUGGGGAAGAAAAUUGAAGGUAAGUUCAUGGUAGUUUGCUUCUAUCUUGAUGUUCAUGAGUUCUUCUUGAUUCUACCUUAACUCUUGAAGCAUAUUUUGGUUUUUAGUUGUGUUGUGAGCAUUUAGUCAUGAAUUAAAAUGAAGGAAAUGGUUGUUGUUUCUUGUUCUUUUGAUGAAAAAUGGAAGAUAGGUGAAGUUGAGCCAAACAAAUGAGCAUGCAUGUGCCUUAGAUGCUAAAGGGGAAAAUCGGCUAACAUGUUGUGCUUUAAAAUGAUGAAAUGGAGAUUAUACUUAAGUAAAAUCAUAGAUAUGUGAUGAUUGAUUGGUGAUAUACAUGUUUAAAUAACAUGCAUGCAAGGUAUGUGUGAAAGAGUGAUUUGGUAAUAAAUCUGCUUGGGACAGCAGCAGUAACGUGACUUUGGAAAAUCACCAUAAAUUGUGGGAGAUGAAUUAGAAGCUGAAUAAAUUAUGUAAUUAAAUCUUAUUGAGUCUAGUUUCAAAUGAAAUAAACAAGAACAUAUUUUGAACUCUGUACAAUGAGAAAUUUGAUUCGUAAUGAAGAGUGGUCAGAUUAUUCAAACAGUGAAACAUGGGAAACUUUGAGAAAAAUAUGGUAUCGAUUGGCUAAACCAAAAAUUCUGAAAAUUUUAUGGAUAGAAGAUAUAUGAGUCUAUUUUCAGGGAAAAUUAACGGAACUUGAUUUGGAGUUUCGUAGCUCCAGUUAUAAAUGAUUUAGUGACUAUUGCUCAGGAAGACAGCUUGCAGUGAAAUUAUGAUUAUGUGGUAAACAUUGACAAAAAUUUGUUAAUGAGUUGCUUAUUGAUUUCUUAUAAGCUUACUAUGAUCUGUAGGUAUGGUUGGCCGAAUAUUGUAAGGGGUUAAUACGUAGUUCGUAUUUGAAUAGUUAGAUUAACGUGUUAGUAAUCCAAUUGUAGGCAGUUCGUGUGUGGAUCUCGUCAGCAUAUCGUCGCAAACAGGUGUGUAACUAGCACCCUUUUAUAGACUAGAUCGGCACAAGCCGAAAAGCCGAAAUGCCGAAAAGCCAGUAUUUUGAUAUCUUGCGAGUGUGUGAAUGCUCAUGAGAUUAAUAGUUUGAUGUAUAUGGUAAAUUAAAGUGAUAAGACUGCAAAGUGCGCGAUUCAUUGCAUUUCGAUAUUUUUGGGCCUAAUGGGCCAAAAACAGGAUAAUGGGCCAACGGGCCCAAAUUGGUAAGAAAACUCGGUAAGUGUUUCUGAUCGUACGUAAAUGGCUAUGUUAUGUAUGAAAACCUUAAGAAUAGUUAAAUUACUUGAAUACCCCUAUGUAUGCAAAAUUACUAUUACACCCCUAGGGUUACUUUUGACUGAAAAGCAUGACGAUCUGAUUCUGUAUGAUGUAUGCCAUGAUUAUAUAUCUGUUGCAUGGGGACUUGGGUUAUACUAUGAAGGAAGCAUCCUGGUGGCUCUGCCACAAUUAUCUGAUCUGGUGGCUCUGCCACAUAUAUCUGUAUCUGGUGACUCCGUCACAAUAUCUAGCAGCCUCGCUGCGAUUUCUGUGGUGUGUAGCAGUUGGGUGGGUCGAGUAGUCUCCCCACAUGGUGUAAGGCUGGUACGGAGGUGUUAUGGAUGAAUCUGGGUUGGGUGUCUGCAUAAACAUGUAAUAUCUGUUCUGUUCUGUUCUGUUAUGGGCCUAUGGGCUUUAUUCUGAAUUUCUGUUCUGGGCUAAGGCCAACUUAUUCUGUUUCUGUGGUUUGAGCUGAUAUAGGCUAUGGUUGGGUUAAUUUACACACUGAGUUUUCCCCAAACUCACCCCUUUUAUUUUCAUCCACGCAGGUAAUCCCCAACCAUAGUGGGCUUGGAGCUGUGAGGGAAUUCGGAGUGGUCACCCGUUCUGAAAGUUUGAUUUUCUUUUGGUGAACUGGACAUCCUUUUAUUUACGUUUGAAGUUUUGGGUUUUUAAAUGUAAUAUGUAUUACUAAGAUAGGUAUUACUUAUUUUAACUGUUGAAAUUGGAUAGCUUUAGGGCACGUUUUCAAAAACAACAAUUGAUUUCAAAAUAACACGACAACAAGCAAAGCUUCCGCAAUGAAAGUAUUUUCCAAAAUUAAUCACUUUUCCUAAAAAUGACUUAAUCAAGUCGGUUUCCUAGAAAUAUCCAUGACGUUAAGGUGUGGCAAUGGCGGUAUGCAUGUCUAGGAUUGGAUCCGAAGGGAGCUUGGUUGUGACAGCCCUAAUUUGACCCCAGUCGAAAAGUGGUUUCGAGACCACAAAACCGAGUCAUAAAAAUAAUUAAAUGUUAUAUUCUAUGCUUAUUAUAUGUGAAAGUGUAUGUGUGAAAGUAUCGUGUCUUAACUUUGUCAUUUGAAUGUGGAAAUAGCUAAAAAGGACUUGUGUGUUAAAACUUAAAAAUAUGAUAGGAAGAAUUUAGAGGGCCGAAUAAUGCAUGGUAUAUAACAAGGAGGACUUGCAUGUCAAAUGGACCACUAUUAGAUUAGUGGGUGACAAUGAUGAAAGUUGACAGAAAAAUAUGUAUUUUGUAUUGUAAAAUAAUAACCUAAUGAAUAUUAUAUGAUUCCAUGUUAGUAAUAUAAUAUUUAAUGAUAUUAUAAGAGGAAUUAUAUAAUUUAAUAAAAGAAAAUAGGUGAGAAAAAUAAAGUUUUCAUCCAUUCUUCUUUCAUUUUACCGAAAUUUAAAGAACAAGCAAAACAAAAGGGUUCUUGGAUAUUCGGCCUUGAUGUUCCUAAUUGGAGGUAUGUUUGAUUUUAUUUCUUGAUAAUUUAUGUGAAAUUGAGUUAAUUGCUAAGCUCCUUUCAUAGCCCAUGACUUAAUUUUUGUUAUUGAUUUGAAAUGAUGCAUUUGGCUAUGGGUUGUAUGGAUGUCUUUGAAGGUGUUAUAUGUUUUGGAAAUGGUUUGUUAAUGUUGUCACUUAUAGUGAUAAUUCGAUCAUGAUUUAGC